CUCGUAGGUGGUUCGGUAAGUCGGAUGUGAAAUCUCCAGGCUCAACCUGGAGGGGUCAUUCGAUACUGCCGUGACUAGAGUUCGGUAGGGGAGUGUGGAAUUCCUGGUGGAGCGGUGAAAUGCGCAGAUAUCAGGAGGAACACCCGUAGCGAAGGCGGCACUCUGGGCCGAUACUGACACUGAGGAGCGAAAGCGUGGGGAGCGAACAGGAUUAGAUACCCUGGUAGUCCACGCCGUAAACGUUGGGCACUAGGUGUGGGGUUCUAUCGACGGAUUCCGUGCCGUAGCUAACGCAUUAAGUGCCCCGCCUGGGGAGUACGGCCGCAAGGCUAAA
RNAcentral lists this ribosomal RNA (334 nucleotides) under uncultured Actinomycetes bacterium. Its description in RNAcentral is "bacterial SSU rRNA". It matches the Rfam family "Bacterial small subunit ribosomal RNA", at positions 568 to 898 of the family's 1533-position model. The record is from RNAcentral. Lineage: Bacteria; Bacillati; Actinomycetota; Actinomycetes.